Molecule: ribosomal RNA, 253 nt
Filed under: uncultured bacterium
Lineage: Bacteria
Description: partial 16S ribosomal RNA
Rfam family: Bacterial small subunit ribosomal RNA
Source: RNAcentral
UACGUAGGGGGCAAGCGUUGUCCGGAAUCAUUGGGCGUAAAGAGCGUGUAGGCGGCCAGAUAAGUCCGCUGUGAAAUCUCGAGGCUCAACUUCGAGCUGUCGGUGGAAACUGUCUGGCUAGAGUCCGGAAGAGGAGAAUGGAAUUCCUGGUGUAGCGGUGAAAUGCGCAGAUAUCAGGAGGAACACCAAUUGCGAAGGCAGCUCGCUGGAACGUAACUGACGCUGAGACGCAAAAGCGUGGGGAGCAAACAGG